This 559-nucleotide ribosomal RNA is filed under the name uncultured fungus. Its description in RNAcentral is "eukaryotic LSU rRNA". The stretch from base 190 to 343 matches the Rfam family "5.8S ribosomal RNA". Lineage: Eukaryota; Fungi. The record is from RNAcentral.
UCCGUAGGUGAACCUGCGGAAGGAUCAUUACAGUGUUCCCUGCCCUCACGGGUAGAAACGCCCACCCUUGUAAAUCUAUCUUGUUGCUUUGGCAGGCCGCCCCCGGGCACCGGCUUCGGCUGGCUCGCGCCUGUCAGAGGACCCCAAACUCUGAAUGUUAGUGUCGUCUGAGUACUAUAUAAUAGUUAAAACUUUUAACAACGGAUCUCUUGGUUCUGGCAUCGAUGAAGAACGCAGCGAAAUGCGAUAAGUAAUGUGAAUUGCAGAAUUCAGUGAAUCAUCGAAUCUUUGAACGCACAUUGCGCCCCGUGGUAUUCCGCGGGGCAUGCCUGUUCGAGCGUCAUUUAACCCAAUCCAGCUUGCUGGGUCUUGGGCUUCGCCUCCGGGCGGGCCUCAAAAUCAGUGGCGGCGCCGUCCGGCUCUAAGCGUAGUAAUACUCCUCGCUACAGGGCUCCGGACGGUUGCUGGCCAGCAACCCCCAAAUUUAUUCAGGUUGACCUCGGAUCAGGUAGGGAUACCCGCUGAACUUAAGCAUAUCAAUAACGGAGGAAGUACGACU